AUGCAAAUUCCCGGUUUUGAAGGCUUAUUGCAAUAAAUCCGCUGGCUUUUAAUCAGAGGGAUCAGAAACGCUACGGAACUCUGUGUUAGGGGAAAGGCAAAAGAACUCCUACUGUCUAAAACGGUGACUUUGCUGAUCAGAGCUCAUAGCUCUCAGAACCCUUGGGAGCUUCUCAGGCCUCAGAGGAGAAGAAUGAGGUCUACAAAUUACAGUAAACUGUGUGCCUGGUAAUGAGGAUAAUGGAGCAGAAUGAGUUGGGGUACUCUCUCAUGAUCAGGGAUCCUGUUAAAACAGAGAAAUAAUUCAGGAGAUCAGGUGGAGCCCUAGAUGAGAACCUUCAUCUGGUGAUGGAUGGAGAUAGAGACAGAGACCCACACUGGAGCACUGGAC
Microtus oregoni (creeping vole) is the source of this 390-nucleotide long non-coding RNA. RefSeq lists it as uncharacterized. The transcript is spliced from 3 exons. The record is from RefSeq and is a predicted model, not a curated record. Lineage: Eukaryota; Metazoa; Chordata; Mammalia; Rodentia; Cricetidae.